UACGUAGGGUGCAAGCGUUGUCCGGAAUUAUUGGGCGUAAAGAGCUCGUAGGUGGCCUGUCGCGUCGGCUGUGAAAACUCGGGGCUCAACUCCGAGCUUGCAGUCGAUACGGGCAGGCUAGAGUUCGGCAGGGGAGACUGGAAUUCCUGGUGUAGCGGUGAAAUGCGCAGAUAUCAGGAGGAACACCGAUGGCGAAGGCAGAUCUCUGGGCCGUAACUGACGCUGAGGAGCGAAAGCGUGGGGAGCGAACAGG
RNAcentral lists this ribosomal RNA (253 nucleotides) under uncultured bacterium. RNAcentral describes it as "partial 16S ribosomal RNA". It matches the Rfam family "Bacterial small subunit ribosomal RNA", at positions 524 to 776 of the family's 1533-position model. The record is from RNAcentral.